AUUUUUUUUCAUACAUUUUUUAGGAUGAAUACUCAAAAUCAAUGUUGUCUAAAAAAGCUGAUUAAUGGGUGCUUAAAUGUGCAUUUUUUUUACAUAAAAAAUAAGAGUAAGGUAAAACGACUGAAAUAUGUCUCAUAAUUCUGUAAAAGCAUAUGAAAAUUAAAAAUGUAAGUUGAUAACCCCAUCUUUGUUAGUUGGUUGUACCAUAUUAAUCUUACCAAAUUUUAAAAGAUACUACAAAAAAAAGCGACCAAUUAAACAGCUUCUCAUUGUAGAUACUUCUUCACUUUUAACAUAUCCCGCUUGACGCUUGAAUAUCUGAUCUUUCUUAGAAAUUACCCAAAUAGAAAAAUAAACUAGGCGAUUAACAGAAAAGAAAAUACCCCCCCCCCCCCAAAAAAAAAGAAGAAAAAAUGUGCAAAAAAAAAAAAAAAAAAAAAGACUGAAAAAUGGGGUGCUAAAAUGUACAAUUUUCUUAUAUAAAAAUUAAGAAUAAGGUAAAACGAGUGAAAUAUUGAACUGGUCGUAAUCGGAAUUGGUCAAUUGAUGUACGUAAGCAUUGCAAUUUCUGUACAUCCAUAACCAUCAGUAUUUUGCUCAAAAAUCACGAUCUUGCAUCAGGAGUUAACAAAUCUUGACGUAUCAUUUCGUCCACUAUUACAGACAAAGUCAACCUAACAUCCUUCUCCUGCAUUGUGUCAGAAAUUACACAAACAUUACCCCAUAAUAAAACAGUUCGUGUCAGAGAUCAGACCAAUAUGAUCAUUGACAAAAACGCUGCAAUAGUGGAAAACAAAUUGAAAACAACAAAUCAGAAAUAUGGCAAAGAGACGAAGGUCAACUUUGUCCGAGUUGAAAUCUCAGUUUCUUUAGAUUUUUCAAAAUUUAUAAAUGAACAACUAACGGUAAUUAAAGUCAUAAGAAACCUCAAAUUAAAAAAAAAUAAUGCAUAUGUUUUUUAUAACUCAAUGGAUAGUUUUCAUUAUAAAACUUAUGUACAUAUACUUUUUUUCUGAAGAAAAUUCUUUAAUUUGUUCAUAUUAAGAAGAAGUUUACAUUAUUCUAAUUGUUUCCUUCCAGGAAGCAAUUCCCCGACAUAUUUUCCGUAUGCAAAGUGACCUCCGUGUGACCCAUCUCGUAAAAAUCCGGUGAUCGCAAUACGCAUGGAUGUCCUUAAAAUAAACUAUUAUCUGAUUGUACAUGUUAAACACGUGCUCAAUAUCCAUGCUUUUUGGUGGAUUGUUGACAAACAGGUGACAAUCGUUAAACUUCGGCUUCAAAACACGAACUUUAAUUACCUGCUAUAUUUUCACAACACUGACCGAUUGAAAAAAAAAUUGACGAUUAUACGAAAUUUAUGCGAAAAAAAUUAUAAAAUCGUGCACAGAAGACUUAGUUUAUGAUGUUUGUAUGCAUUGGUUCAAGAAUUGGAAAAACAUUAUUUUUCACCGGUCACUUGUUUAUUAUGACUUUAAAUAGAAUUACAGAAUCAAAAAAGUCUGAGCUCACGUUCGCCAGCAUGCUUACUACGUCUUAUGUUCCAGUUUUGUAAGAUCCAUGAUUCAUUGCAAUUUAAUACAACAUUUUUUGGUAAGGGCUGUUUGACUGAUACUCGAGGACGGAUAAUUACAUUGUUUUCGAUUUUUUUUUUUUUUUUUUUUUUUUGUCCACUUCCAAUAAAUUUUAAAUAUAUGCUCCAAAAUAGAUG
This 1708-nucleotide long non-coding RNA is filed under the name Mytilus galloprovincialis (Mediterranean mussel). The record is from RNAcentral. Lineage: Eukaryota; Metazoa; Mollusca; Bivalvia; Mytilida; Mytilidae.